This 495-nucleotide ribosomal RNA is filed under the name uncultured bacterium. RNAcentral describes it as "partial 16S ribosomal RNA". It matches the Rfam family "Bacterial small subunit ribosomal RNA", at positions 30 to 507 of the family's 1533-position model. The record is from RNAcentral.
UGAACGCUGGCGGCGUGCCUAAUACAUGCAAGUCGAGCGAACAGACGAGGAGCUUGCUCCUCUGACGUUAGCGGCGGACGGGUGAGUAACACGUGGAUAACCUACCUAUAAGACUGGGAUAACUUCGGGAAACCGGAGCUAAUACCGGAUAAUAUAUUGAACCGCAUGGUUCAAUAGUUAAAGACGGUUUUGCUGUCACUUAUAGAUUGAUCCGCGCCGCAUUAGCUAGUUGGUAAGGUAACGGCUUACCAAGGCGACGAUGCGUAGCCGACCUGAGAGGGUGAUCGGCCACACUGGAACUGAGACACGGUCCAGACUCCUACGGGAGGCAGCAGUAGGGAAUCUUCCGCAAUGGGCGAAAGCCUGACGGAGCAACGCCGCGUGAGUGAUGAAGGUCUUCGGAUCGUAAAACUCUGUUAUUAGGGAAGAACAAAUGUGUAAGUAACUAUGCACGUCUUGACGGUACCUAAUCAGAAAGCCACGGCUAACUACGUG